This 524-nucleotide ribosomal RNA is filed under the name uncultured bacterium. RNAcentral describes it as "partial 16S ribosomal RNA". It matches the Rfam family "Bacterial small subunit ribosomal RNA", at positions 28 to 523 of the family's 1533-position model. The record is from RNAcentral.
GACGAACGCUGGCGGCGUGCCUAAUACAUGCAAGUCGAACGAAGCUGUUUUAACUGGUGCUUGCACCGACUUAAACAACUGAGUGGCGAACGGGUGAGUAACACGUGGGUAACCUGCCCCAAAGCGGGGGAUAACAUUUGGAAACAGAUGCUAAUACCGCAUAACCACAGAAACCACAUGGUUUCUGUGUCAAAGAUGGUUUCGGCUAUCACUUUGGGAUGGACCUGCGGCGUAUUAGCUAGUUGGUAAGGUAAUGGCUUACCAAGGCAAUGGUACGUAGCCGAACUGAGAGGUUGAUCGGCCACAUUGGGACUGAGACACGGCCCAAACUCCUACGGGAGGCAGCAGUAGGGAAUCUUCCACAAUGGACGAAAGUCUGAUGGAGCAACGCCGCGUGAGUGAAGAAGGUUUUCGGAUCGUAAAACUCUGUUGUCAGAGAAGAACGUGUGCGAGAGUAACUGCUCGUGCAGUGACGGUAUCUGGCCAGAAAGCCACGGCUAACUACGUGCCAGCCGCCGCGGUAA